GCGGUGACCGCGUAGGCGCAGGCGCGGGGUGUAGCGGGGCGCGCGCCAUGGAGACCGUUGGUGAUUGGACAGAGGGCGCCGGGGGUGGGCCUCUUAGGACCACUUUUAAAAGAAGCGCCUGGGCCUUGAGUUUCAGCCUGAGGAGAGCACUUGACGCCGAGUGAGCAAUGGCGGCAGCCGGUGAGAAAACUGGCAGCAGUGAUUGGUUUCAGAGGUCGAGGGUCCCCAGCUUUGCUCAGAUUUUGAAAAAGAACUUGCCCAUUCAGCCAGUGGUCCAGAUGGUAACUACACCUGCAAGACGUUCCUCUGAAAGUGGCAGCCUGUCAGAUAUGACAUUCAAGGUCACACAAGUGACGGGUAAUUUUCCAGAACCAUUGCUUUCCAAAAGUCUUUCAUCUAUUUCAAAUCCUGCCCUUCCUUCAAAAAACAUAUCCAAGGAAUUUAUAAUGAAAUACAAACGUGGAGAGAUAAAUCCUGUGUCGGCCUUACACCAAUUUGCACAAAAGCAGCGGGUUCAGCUUGACCUUAAGGAAACUGUUACAACAGGUAACGUGAUGGGGCCAUAUUUUGCCUUCUGUGCUGUGGUGGAUGGUAUUCAAUAUAAGACUGGACUGGGACAAAAUAAAAAGGAGUCUAGAUCCAAUGCAGCAAAAUUAGCUCUUGAUGAGCUUCUACAAUUGGAUGAACCUGAACCAAGAAUUUUAGAACAAUCAGGUCCUCCUCCUAUCCCUGCAGAACCUGUUGUUGCACCUGAACCAGCAUAUGUUUCAAAAGUACAUUAUGAUUGGAGACAUGCCCAAUAUUCUAAGAUCUCACAGACUGUUAAAGAAACAUUUAAUCAACUAAUUUCUAGUCACUCAGAAUAUCUGAAAUGUACCAAUUCAUUGGCUGCUUUCAUUGUUGAAAGAGCUGGACAUCAUGAAGUUGUAGCUGUAGGCACAGGUGAAUACAAUUGCAACCAGUGUAUCAAGCCAUAUGGAAGAGUGUUACAUGACACUCAUGGUGUUGUUACAGCAAGAAGAUCUCUCCUUAGGUACUUUUAUAGACAGCUUCUACUCUUCUAUAGCAAAAAUCCUAUCAUGAUGGAAAAAUCAAUAUUUUGUACAGAACCAGCUUCUGAUCUUCUUACUCUGAAACAAGACAUCAACAUUUACCUCUAUAUGAACCAGUUGCCUAAAGGAUCAGCCCAGAUUAAGUCACAGUUGCAUCUUAAUCCAAAUUCUGUAUCUGCAUUUGAAGCCAAUGAAGAACUGAGUCUGCAUGUGGCUGUUGGAGGCAAAAUUUAUCUUCCUGUUUACUGUCCCUCAACCGUUGUUAAUAAAGUAAACAGUAUGUCUGCAAGUGACAAGUUGACAAGAUGGGAAGUUCUUGGUGUACAGGGAGCAUUGCUGAGUCACUUUAUACAGCCAGUUUAUAUCAACAAUAUACUUGUUGGUGAUGGGAAUUGCAGUGAUACUAGAGGCUUAGAAAUUGCGAUAAAGCAACGUGUUGAUGAUGUACUCAUUUCAAGUCUUCCAAUGUUUUACUUAGUCAACAGGCCUCAUAUUAGCUUAGUGCCCUCUGUAUACCCAUUUCAAAUGAAUUUGGAAUAUAAAUCUCUGAGUAUGAACUGGGCACAAGGGGACCUUGCUCUGGAGAUUGUGGAUGGCCUAAAUGGGAAAAUCACUGAAAGUUCCCCAUUUAAAAGUGGUGUGUCAAUGGCAAGUCGACUUUGUAAGGCUGCAAUGUUAAGUAGAUUUAAGCUGCUUGCCAAGGAAACAAAAAGAGACGAUUUAUUUAAACUGAGUUCAUAUCAUGCAGCUAAGAAGUCAUCAUUAACAAAAUGAAAAUACAGACUACAGACUAGGAGAAGAUUCUUGCAAACCACAUAUCUGACAAAGGACUUGGAUCCAGAAUAUGUAGACCUUAAAAUCUCAGUAAUAGGACAAGGAAACAAAUUUUUAGAAGAGGCAAAGAAUAUGUACAACUGUCCAAUGAACACAUUAAAGAUGCCCAGUCUUAUUAGUGUUUAGGAAGAUGAGAAAUUAAACCACAAUGAGAUGGCAAUAUACCUACUGAAAUCCUAAGGGCUGACCAUACCAGCAUAUGUCUGGCUCCUAUCAAGAAGCUAAAACUUUAUUGAAAUCCGACUUACAGCAACAUGGCUAUGGCUCCUGGAUUGUGAAAUCUCCUGAUAUAGAGCAAUUUUAUAUGUGAAUUAGACAAUUCCUUGUCAUAUUGAACAUCUUUUAUUUUUUUGUGUAUUUUGACUGGUAAAAAUGUUUUUAAAAUAUUGGAAGUUUUCAACUUUCAAAAUCAGAGUCUGGUACCAGCAUUGUCUGAAUAUUGCUAAAAAUUAGUACAUCUUCAUGUCAACUUACAUUGAAACGUUAGGGAUUUUUAAACAUUUUUCAUUUGUUUUUGAAAAAGAAUUACCUGAUUCAGUGUGUACACAUUUUUAUUUAUUUUUACACAGACAUAAAUUCAUUACUCUUUUGCAGUUUAAAGAGAAUUUAUUUUGUCAAGAUUUUGCUUUGAAAUCUUGUAGUACACAUGGCUGUAACAGUCAACAUUGUUUCUGAUAUCAUUUAAAUUUUCUUUUAAUUAAACAUAGAAACCAGGAAUAAAAAUAAUUUGUAUUCAUUUAUUCAACAGGCAUUUAAAUGCUUAGUUUGUUCCACUCACUAUGCUAUAUAAUAGUAAUAUAGUAGCUGAAAGAUUCUCAAAUCAAGUUCAUGAAUGCAAACUGUACAUACAAAUACAGAAAAACGUUAAAACCAUAUUAGGUAAGAAGUCAUUUGAUAUAAUUAAUAGAAGGAAUUCAUAUAUGUUUUAAAUAAGAUUGCCCACUUUCAUCAAUCCUAUAUGAUCUACUUGUACUAAAUGCUACUUAAUUCUUCAUAAUUUAGAUUAAUGGGGUUUUCUAAUUUAUAGGUAAAUAAAAAUUUAGCUUAGUAUUGAUAUUUGUUUAUUCAGCAGUAACCUAAAAAGGAAAGUUUACUCUUCAGUUAAGACAUAUAUCAUUAAUUAAAUUAUGAGUUUAUCCCAUACUUUAGCUUCUUUACCAUAUUCCUUGCCAUUCUGUCAAGAGAUAUAUUAAACCUUACUGGUUUCCAGGGUUUGCCCUCUUAGCUUGCAUCUUUACUAAAUUUAUGAGUUUCACCCUAUCCAAUAUAAACUAUUGUAACCUGAUAAAAUUGGUGUACCUUGCUUUGCUGUCUAUUCUAAAAGUAUACAGUAGUAGAGUUUAGUUAAUGAACGGCGAAGUUUUUCUGGAAAGACAAAUUUAUGUCUUUUAGUGGUCUAGACUCUAUAUAGUACUUAAAAUAUUAGGAUGAACCAUGUGAAGUUGCCACAUUUUGUAAAUUUAAAAGGAUAAAAUAUGGGCAGUAUCAUAAGGAUCAA
Molecule: non-coding RNA, 3384 nt
Organism: Heterocephalus glaber (naked mole-rat)
Lineage: Eukaryota; Metazoa; Chordata; Mammalia; Rodentia; Bathyergidae
Source: RefSeq, a predicted model, not a curated record